This 254-nucleotide ribosomal RNA is filed under the name uncultured bacterium. RNAcentral's name for it is "partial 16S ribosomal RNA". It matches the Rfam family "Bacterial small subunit ribosomal RNA", at positions 524 to 776 of the family's 1533-position model. The record is from RNAcentral.
GACGAACCGUGCAAACGGUAUUCGGAAUCAUUGGGCUUAAAGGGCGCGUAGGCGGCGUUGUUAGUCAGGGGUGAAAUCCCAUCGGCUCAACCGUGGAAUUGCCUUUGAUACUGCAAUGCUUGAGGGAGGUAGGGGCGAGUGGAACUUCCAGUGGAGCGGUGAAAUGUGUUGAGAUUGGAAGGAACGCCGGUGGCGAAAGCGACUCGCUGGCCCUCUUCUGACGCUGAGGCGCGAAAGCCAGGGUAGCAAACGGG